UACGUAGGGGGCAAGCGUUGUCCGGAUUUACUGGGCGUAAAGAGCGUGUAGGCGGCCAGACAGGUCUGUUGUGAAAACUGGAGGCUUAACCUCCAGACGUCGACAGAAACCGUCUGGCUAGAGUCCGGAAGAGGAGAGUGGAAUUCCUGGUGUAGCGGUGAAAUGCGCAGAUAUCAGGAAGAACACCCGUGGCGAAAGCGGCUCUCUGGAACGGUACUGACGCUGAGACGCGAAAGCGUGGGGAGCGAACAGG
Molecule: ribosomal RNA, 253 nt
Filed under: uncultured bacterium
Lineage: Bacteria
Description: partial 16S ribosomal RNA
Rfam family: Bacterial small subunit ribosomal RNA
Source: RNAcentral